RNAcentral lists this ribosomal RNA (426 nucleotides) under uncultured bacterium. RNAcentral describes it as "bacterial SSU rRNA". It matches the Rfam family "Bacterial small subunit ribosomal RNA", at positions 29 to 446 of the family's 1533-position model. The record is from RNAcentral.
AAUGAACGCUGGCGGCGCGCCUAAUACAUGCAAGUCGAGCGAGAAGACGUAGCAAUACGUUUGUAAAGCGGCGAACGGGUGAGGAAUACAUGGGUAACCUACCCUCGAGUGGGGAAUAACUAGCCGAAAGGUUAGCUAAUACCGCGUACGCUUCUUGGACUUCGGUUCAGGGAGGAAAGCGAUACCGUGGGUAUCGCGCUCUUGGAUGGGCUCAUGUCCUAUCAGCUUGUUGGGAGGUAACGGCUCACCAAGGCUUCGACGGGUAGCUGGUCUGAGAGGACGAUCAGCCACACUGGCACUGCGACACGGGCCAGACUCCUACGGGAGGCAGCAGUAAGGAAUAUUGCGCAAUGGGCGAAAGCCUGACGCAGCGACGCCGCGUGGGGGAUGAAGGUCUUCGGAUUGUAAACCCCUUUCGGGAGGGAA